GACGAACGCUGGCGGCGUGCCUAAUACAUGCAAGUUGAGCGCUGAAGGUUGGUACUUGUACCGACUGGAUGAGCAGCGAACGGGUGAGUAACGCGUGGGGAAUCUGCCUUUGAGCGGGGGACAACAUUUGGAAACGAAUGCUAAUACCGCAUAAAAACUUUAAACACAAGUUUUAAGUUUGAAAGAUGCAAUUGCAUCACUCAAAGAUGAUCCCGCGUUGUAUUAGCUAGUUGGUGAGGUAAAGGCUCACCAAGGCGAUGAUACAUAGCCGACCUGAGCGGGUGAUCGGCCAAAUUGGGAAUGGGACACGGCCCAAACCCCUACGGGAGGCAGCAGGAGGGAAUCUUCGGCAAUGGACGAAAGGCUGACCGAGCAACGCCGCGGGAGGGAAGAAGGGUGUCGGAUCGUAAAACUCUGUUGGUAGGGAAGAACGUUGGUGAGAGUGGAAAGCUCAUCAAGUGACGGUAACUACACAGAAAGGGACGGCUAACUACGUG
This 497-nucleotide ribosomal RNA is filed under the name uncultured bacterium. RNAcentral's name for it is "partial 16S ribosomal RNA". It matches the Rfam family "Bacterial small subunit ribosomal RNA", at positions 28 to 507 of the family's 1533-position model. The record is from RNAcentral.